This 469-nucleotide ribosomal RNA is filed under the name uncultured Actinomycetes bacterium. RNAcentral describes it as "bacterial SSU rRNA". It matches the Rfam family "Bacterial small subunit ribosomal RNA", at positions 75 to 576 of the family's 1533-position model. The record is from RNAcentral. Lineage: Bacteria; Bacillati; Actinomycetota; Actinomycetes.
UGGAGCAAUCCAUGAGUAAAGUGGCGACCGGGUGAGUAACACGUGACUAACCUACCUCCAAGUGGGGAAUAACUCCGGGAAACCGGGGCUAAUACCGCAUAACAUCGCAAGAUCAAAGCAGCAAUGCGCUGGGAGAGGGGGUCGCGGCUGAUUAGCUAGUUGGCGGGGUAACGGCCCACCAAGGCGAAGAUCGGUAUCCGGCCUGAGAGGGCGCACGGACACACUGGAACUGAAACACGGUCCAGACUCCUACGGGAGGCAGCAGUGGGGAAUUUUGCGCAAUGGGGGAAACCCUGACGCAGCAACGCCGCGUGGAGGAUGAAGCCCUUUGGGGCGUAAACUCCUUUCGACCAAGACGAUAAUGACGGUACUGGUGGAAGAAGCACCGGCUAACUCUGUGCCAGCAGCCGCGGUAAUACAGAGGGUGCAAGCGUUGUUCGGAAUUAUUGGGCGUAAAGGGCGCGUAGGC